This 497-nucleotide ribosomal RNA is filed under the name uncultured bacterium. RNAcentral's name for it is "partial 16S ribosomal RNA". It matches the Rfam family "Bacterial small subunit ribosomal RNA", at positions 28 to 507 of the family's 1533-position model. The record is from RNAcentral.
GAUGAACGCUGGCGGCGUGCCUAAUACAUGCAAGUCGAGCGAACAGAUGAGAAGCUUGCUUCUCUGACGUUAGCGGCGGACGGGUGAGUAACACGUGGAUAACCUACCUAUAAGACUGGGAUAACUUCGGGAAACCGGAGCUAAUACCGGAUAAUAUAUUGAACCGCAUGGUUCAAUAGUGAAAGACGGUUUUGCUGUCACUUAUAGAUGGAUCCGCGCCGCAUUAGCUAGUUGGUAAGGUAACGGCUUACCAAGGCAACGAUGCGUAGCCGACCUGAGAGGGUGAUCGGCCACACUGGAACUGAGACACGGUCCAGACUCCUACGGGAGGCAGCAGUAGGGAAUCUUCCGCAAUGGGCGAAAGCCUGACGGAGCAACGCCGCGUGAGUGAUGAAGGUCUUCGGAUCGUAAAACUCUGUUAUUAGGGAAGAACAAAUGUGUAAGUAACUAUGCACGUCUUGACGGUACCUAAUCAGAAAGCCACGGCUAACUACGUG